Molecule: long non-coding RNA, 1767 nt
Organism: Pogoniulus pusillus (Red-fronted tinkerbird)
Lineage: Eukaryota; Metazoa; Chordata; Aves; Piciformes; Lybiidae
Exons: 2
Source: RefSeq, a predicted model, not a curated record
GAGUGGGAUAGGAGGGAGAGACAACCCCACAGACAUCCAGGUCCUUGAAGAAGGAGGCAGGAAGGCAUGACAGAGGAGUUAUGCUCCUUUGGCCCAUGACCACAGAGGACCCCAUGUUGGAGCAAAGGAUUGAUCCUGAAGGAGGUCAUGACUCUGAUGGAGGCCUGUUCUGGAGUGAUCCAUGGCUGAGAGGAUUGCAGCCUGUGAAGGGGAACCGCUCUAAUUGGAGAAACUUGUGGGGGAUGGUUUCCUGUGGGAAGGAUGCUAUGUUGCCGCAGGGGACAACUGUGAGGAGUUAUCCUCCUGAGGAGGAAGAAGCAGCAGAAACAAUGAUCAGGUACUCUCUGCAAACCCCAUUCCCUGCCCUCCUGCACAGCUAAGGGAGAGCUGAGCCCAAGAAGGAAAGAGGAGAUGGGAAAAAGGAUUGUAUUUAUAACUGCUCUGAUCUGAUUCGAUUGGUGAAUGAGUGGUGGCCAUGUUCUUCAAGGUACAUCAAUUUUGUUUCUCCAAGUUGAGUCUGUCUAUAACCAGUGUUCAUAACUAGUGAGUGACCCCUCCCUGUCCUUUGUCUCAACUUUCCUGCCUUUCGUUGUAUUUUUCUACUCCACAUCUAUCAGAGGGGGUAGCAGUGAGUGAGCAGCUGCCAAGUGCUUUGGUGACAGCUGAGUGGGCUCAAACCAUGACAGGUAGUUGCUCUAGGAUUCCUUUGUAGUGACUGGAAGAGCCAGACUCUCAAUAAGGCACACAAGAAUGGGAUCAGCUGCAGAAUGCUUUUCUCCUGUCAAGUAUAUUGGCAGCCUCAAGCAAUGACAUUCAUACCUUAUGUUUAAGCUUUCCAGAACACUGACCUUGAGAUAGAACUGCAGUUUCAGGCCAAAAGAUUUAGCCCAGGCAGGGUUAUUUAAGAAGCCUGAAAGCAUGGGUUUAUAUAACAUGUUGCAAAUCCAUAACUACCAGCUACUGUCAGUUUUAGUCAGCUAUAAGUCUGACUUAAUCUAGUUGAAAUGUGUUUUUCAGCAAACAGCAGGAAGUCAAUGAUCUUAGAAUAGAUUUUAUUAAGAACAAAGUGACAUAAGGAACAGUUUGUAUGACUGCUUGUAGCUCACAAAAACAGUUUUAGAACUUAUUUUUUAAGGAAAAAAUGUUAAGUCCUUCUAUUAGCAGCAAACUUUGCAUUAUAAGACAGAUCAGGACAGAAGGUGUGAGGAAAUUUGCUAAACUCUUCCUCUUUUAAAACUGAUCAACAAUUAAGAAUAAAUAAAUUGAAUCAUCCAAUUGUUUGAAGUUGUAAGAGAAUACUCAAUACUUCCUUUUCAUCUUGCCUGUUCAGAAACAAAAAAGCACUUAGGAGUAUUCAUCAUCUUCUCAUGAAUUUAACCAGUCUCACAUCUUCACUGAAAGGGUUAUCAAACACUGGAAUAGGCUCCCCAGGGAGGUGGUUGGAACAGAAUGACUGGAAGGGAUCCUUGGGCUUGUCUUGCCUGACCUCCCCUGCAGUAAGCAAGUACAUCUCCAAAUAGAUCAGACUGCUUGUGGCCCUAUCAAGUUUGACCUUGAAUGUCCCCAGGGAUGAGGCCUCCACCACAUCUCUUGGCAGUCUGUUCCACUACCUUUAUUGUGAAGAACUUCCUCCUUAUGUAUAACCUAAAUCUACCCUGCUCUAGUUUAAAACCAUUGACUCCUGCCCUAUUGCUGCAAGCCUUUUUAAACAGUCCCUCUCCAGCCUUCCUGUAGGUCCCCUUCGGGCGCUGAAAUGCUCCUUCUUUU